AUGGGAACGCGAAGAACCUUACCUACUCUUGACAUCCAGAGAACUUAGCAGAGAUGCUUUGGUGCCUUCGGGAACUCUGAGACAGGUGCUGCAUGGCUGUCGUCAGCUCGUGUUGUGAAAUGUUGGGUUAAGUCCCGCAACGAGCGCAACCCUUAUCCUUUGUUGCCAGCGGUCCCGGGCCGGGAACUCAAAGGAGACUGCCAGUGAUAAACUGGAGGAAGGUGGGGAUGACGUCAAGUCAUCAUGGCCCUUACGAGUAGGGCUACACACGUGCUACAAUGGCGCAUACAAAGAGAAGCGACCUCGCGAGAGCAAGCGGACCUCAUAAAGUGCGUCGUAGUCCGGAUUGGAGUCUGCAACUCGACUCCAUGAAGUCGGAAUCGCUAGUAAUCGUAGAUCAGAAUGCUACGGUGAAUACGUUCCCGGGUC
RNAcentral lists this ribosomal RNA (429 nucleotides) under uncultured bacterium. RNAcentral describes it as "bacterial SSU rRNA". It matches the Rfam family "Bacterial small subunit ribosomal RNA", at positions 954 to 1380 of the family's 1533-position model. The record is from RNAcentral.